This is an unclassified non-coding RNA of Microcebus murinus (gray mouse lemur), 102 nucleotides long. It matches the Rfam family "Y RNA". Rfam says of the family: Y RNAs are components of the Ro ribonucleoprotein particle (Ro RNP), in association with Ro60 and La proteins. The Y RNAs and Ro60 and La proteins are well conserved, but the function of the Ro RNP is not known. In humans the RNA component can be one of four small RNAs -- hY1, hY3, hY4 and hY5. NCBI's taxonomy places the organism in Eukaryota, Metazoa, Chordata, Mammalia, Primates, Cheirogaleidae. The record is from Ensembl.
GGUUGGUCCAAGUGCAGUGGUGUUUACAACUAAUUGAUCACAACCAGUUACAGAUUCCUUUGUUCCUUCUCCACUCCCACUGCUCCACUUGACCAGCCUUUA